UCCUAUCCGAGAAUGUAUCUGUGGUGUAGCCAGACUUUACUCCACAGCGCUGUGGAGAUAGGUCUGGCAAUGCAAGACUUGUUUGCAACAUGCAACUCCUUCAGGUUUCUUGUCAAGUAAUGCUCUCCAAUUCAGAAGCCACAUUUUAGUCAGCAUUUCUCUCAACAGUUCUCAAGUUUGGAUUACCAGGUUCCCCGGUCCCGUCUCAACACUCCACCUCUGCCCCCUAAAAACAGCACAACCGCACGUUGUCCAUCUCCCUCCAGCCAAUCCCAGACAUCGACUCUGGACAAACCCUCCCACCAACGUUCACAGGCUCACAGUGGAAAUAAAGCACACAGACGAAACAAACAACAGACAAACAUGGAUAGCAGUGCUGAAUUCCUCUCAGAAGCAACGUUUUCGUCUUCCUCUCAGAAAGGUGGCGACAGUGGAGCAGCAUGGCUCGAACCCUCCAGCCCAGUCAAACAGAGACGAAGACAUAAAGAGAGGGAGGAAUGGAGAGCGGGGCCCAGAGAACACACAUGUGACCUGGGAGAGAUGGCGAGAAGAAUGUCGUCCUGACAGAAAAGCAACCUCUGCAAAACCAAGACUCUUUUACUAAAGCGAGAAAUACUGAACCACUAAAAUAUUCAAGAAAGCAGUCCUUGGUGACUGUUAAAGUAGUUUCUGGUUACUGAUCUUUAUAAUUAAAGUGUUCUGAGCCUCCAUUAAUUAUUAAUAGAAAUGAAUGAAAGGCUUGAUCAUGUAAUUAUAUGAUCACAUUAAGGGGGGAAAUCACAUAUCUAGAGUAAAUAAAUGGAAAAAUAGAAAUAUGCUACAUCAUCAUGUAACCCAUACCAUAAGUUUCUUCUCAUAAAAAUGUUAUGUGAGUAAAUAAAGGCCUCUGUAUAACUCAAUCAAACAGUCUUAAAAUAAAACAAGUAAACCUGUAACUGACACAUA
Long non-coding RNA from Sander lucioperca (pikeperch), 945 nucleotides. RefSeq lists it as uncharacterized. The transcript has 5 exons. Lineage: Eukaryota; Metazoa; Chordata; Actinopteri; Perciformes; Percidae. The record is from RefSeq and is a predicted model, not a curated record.